Lutra lutra (Eurasian river otter) is the source of this 400-nucleotide long non-coding RNA. RefSeq lists it as uncharacterized. The transcript is spliced from 3 exons. The record is from RefSeq and is a predicted model, not a curated record. Lineage: Eukaryota; Metazoa; Chordata; Mammalia; Carnivora; Mustelidae.
CCAGGGACAAUGGGUCACCUGGAGAUGGACAGAGCGUCCGCACCCACAAGGCCCCAGGUCUAUGUGGGACCUGGAACUGGGGAAGGAGCCACCUUGCAAUUAAGGAUACAUGUACGCUAAUGAGAUCACAACAGAAAAGGGGGACCCCGGAGUGGGUUCAAGCCCCACCCCCGAAGCUGAGGUGGGGUAUGACAUCUUACCCAUUUCGAGCAAAGUUGGCCCAGUACUUCAUCAUUCUCCUGCUCAACAGCUUUUCUUCCUCUGUGACUUCAACUACAGAGAGCAAGAGGACAAGGGUCUAGAAGCAACAUGCUCUCACCCCCCAGGUGGCAGGGGCUUGGCACUCACCGGCAGACUGGAGCCUUCACGGGCAUGGGCAGGCGUAUAGAUGUUAAGGUAC